RNAcentral lists this long non-coding RNA (405 nucleotides) under Triticum aestivum (bread wheat). Its description in RNAcentral is "long non-coding RNA (TAES_LNC015901)". The record is from RNAcentral. Lineage: Eukaryota; Viridiplantae; Streptophyta; Magnoliopsida; Poales; Poaceae.
AGGUGGCUGAUUGACGUCGUCUCUCCUUGAAUGCACUGCCAGCCCAGCACCCUGCUCAUGAAGAAACAUCCGAAACCCCUUUUUGCGGGACAAUAUUAGAGCAAUAUGCUGCAAGCAUCACCAAUUGUGGUUUUCAGCUAUGUGGUGAUGUGGCUGUUUUGUCUCGGUGAAUCCGAGUUGUAACCCGCCAGCUUAACAUGUUGGCGCUGUAUAUGAGUCGGCGUGUUUAUGCACUGAUGAAUUGCUCUCAGGCAUACGAACUGUUAAGUUAUGAAGAAGGCCAGAAGGUGUGAUGCUGUGCGCUGGUUACUGUUCAGCCCUAGAACUAGUUAUGUCUGGCAGCAUGCGUUUGUAAAUUGUAAGGAUUAGCUGCCUCAUUUUGGGAAUCUUGAAUGAAAUGGUAAA